RNAcentral lists this ribosomal RNA (2136 nucleotides) under Solenocera necopina. RNAcentral's name for it is "eukaryotic LSU rRNA". It matches the Rfam family "Eukaryotic large subunit ribosomal RNA", at positions 71 to 1685 of the family's 3401-position model. The record is from RNAcentral. Lineage: Eukaryota; Metazoa; Arthropoda; Malacostraca; Decapoda; Solenoceridae.
GGGAUUUCCCCCUCGUAGGGCGACUGAAACGGGAAGAGCCCAGCGCAAAGCCUCGCGCUCCGAUAUCUAAGGGCGCGAGGGGUGCUGCGUUCGGGAGAGGUCCUGCACGCGCUUCCGCACCGCCUAAGUUGUACAUGAAUGACUCUCAUACCCAGGGAGGGUGUUAGGCCCGUGUGGCGGUAUGCAGCCCCUGCGCGCAAGCGCGGGGGAAGGUACGGGAGUGCGGAACGGGCCUCUCCUUAGAGUCGGGUUGCCUGAAACCGCAACCUAAAGUAGGUGGUAAACUCCAUCUAAGGCUAAAUAUGACCACGAGACCGAUAGCGAACAAGUACCGUGAGGGAAAGUUGAAACAGAACCCUGUAGAGAGAGUUCAAGAGAACGUGAAACCGUUAAGAGGCUAAACGGGUGGAGAUUCGAAGAUCGAACUUGGGGGAUUCAGUCUGUCGGUGGCCGGGAGGGGGAUCGUUGGCGCUGGGCCGUUUUGGGCUCUGUCGCACAUUGUGGCGGCGGGUCCGCGGUCCUACGCGACCUCCCGACUGCUGUCCGCUCACAAGGCGGGCACGACCGGGGGGCGCGGCCCGUCCCCUAACCCUGGUGCCGGCGGGCGAUCUUCCCCCUGUAGUAGGUCGCCGCGAUGCGUUGGGAGGGCGUCUUGAGGCCCGGGCGGCAGGAACCGACGUCAAAAGCUCUCUCAUCUCAAUCCCUCUCGGGGGUUUGUUGGUGGGUCUGCGGCGGCGUCCGGGGAUCCCCUGGUGUCCUUGUCUUGCGCUCCCGACGGUCUCUCCUUGGGGCUUUCGGCGUCUCAGUCCGUCCGCGGGCGGCGCCGUCUGCCUUCGCGGCGUGUAAAGUAUCGAUGCUCUACCCGACCCGUCUUGAAACACGGACCAAGGAGUCCAACAUGUAUGCGAGUCAAUGGGCGCACUAAACCCACAGGCGCAAUGAAAGUGAUAACUGGCCCUAACUAGUUAGGGCAGGGCCGAUCCCUCGAGAUGGGGCGGCUGCCGAGAGCGCCCGGACGGAGUGACUGCUUUUCCUCCCCGGGUGCACGGCCCGCUCCUCCCGCACGCCUCCUCUUGUUAUUAAUAGGAGGAGGGGGGCGCAGGUCCGGGACUCGCCAUGACGAACGGGGAAGAAAGCGAAGGCCUUUUAGGAGGCCUUAGCCGCCGGUACCCGGAUGUGUCGGCGAGUACCUCGAGCAUAAAUGUUGGUACCCGAAAGAUAGUGAACUAUGCCUGGCCAGGAUGAAGCCAGGGGAAACCCUGGUGGAAGUCCGCAGCGAUUCUGACGUGCAAAUCGAUCGUCGGAGCUGGGUAUAGGGGCGAAAGACCAAUCGAACUAUCUAGUAGCUGGUUCCCUCCGAAGUUUCCCUCAGGAUAGCUGGCACUCGCCAAAGACGAGUUUCAUCCGGUAAAGCGAAUGAUUAGGGGUGUUGGGGACGAAAUGUCCUCAGCCUAUUCUCAAACUUUAAAUGGGUGAGGUACCGGGCUUGCUUCUCUGAAGCCCCGGGCACGAAUCGGAGUGCUUAGUGGGCCAAUUUUGGUAAGCAGAACUGGCGCUGUGGGAUGAACCAAACGUCRAGUUAARGGGCCUAAAUGGAUGCUAAUUCCGAUACCWUGGAAGGGAGUUGCUUGCUAUAGACAGCAKGACGGUGGCCAUGGAAGUUGGAAUCCGCUAAGGAGUGUGUAACAACUCACCUGCCKAAGCAAGUAACCCUGAAAAUGNNAUGGCGCUCAAGCAUCCUCCCGAUACUCGACCGCCGGGCGCACUAUUGGCUGGAAUAACAAGGAAGUCUCGAGGCCCCGGCGAGUAGGAGGAGCGCGGUGGUGAGCGUUGAAGGAUUCGGCGUGAGCCGGUCUGGAGCCUCCACUGGUGCGGAUCUUGRUGGUAGUARCAAAUAUUCGAGCGAGAACACCCUCGUUGACCGAUGCGGAGAAGGGUUCCACGCCAACAUCGUUUGGUCGUGUGUAAGUCGUCCCUAAGCUCAGGGAUAACCAUCCCCUUGUGCUAGGCGUACUGGCUUUCCUUUUACCUUUUGUAAAGAUCCAUAAUAGUAAAUAUUAUUAUUAUGGAUCCACAUUGCCACAGUGAUGAUAUAUAUACACUGCUGCUGCUGCUGCUGCUGCUGCUGCUACUACU